AUACGUAGGGGGCAAGCGUUAUCCGGAUUUACUGGGUGUAAAGGGAGCGUAGACGGUGUGACAAGUCUGAUGUGAAAACCCGGGGCUCGACUCCGGGAUUGCAUUGGAAACUGCCAUACUUGAGUGCAGGAGAGGUAAGCGGAAUUCCUAGUGUAGCGGUGAAAUGCGUAGAUAUUAGGAGGAACACCGGCGGCGAAGGCGGCUUACUGGACUGUAACUGACGUUGAGGCUCGAAAGCGUGGGGAGCAAACAGGAUUAGAUACCCUGGUAGUCCACGCGGUAAACGAUGAAUACUAGGUGUUGGGGGUCUAUAGACCCUCGGUGCCGCAGCAAACGCAAUAAGUAUUCCACCUGGGGAGUACGUUCGCAAGAAUGAAACUCAAAGGAAUUGACGGGG
Molecule: ribosomal RNA, 397 nt
Filed under: uncultured bacterium
Lineage: Bacteria
Description: partial 16S ribosomal RNA
Rfam family: Bacterial small subunit ribosomal RNA
Source: RNAcentral